GAUGAACGCUGGCGGCGUGCCUAAUACAUGCAAGUCGAGCGAACGGACGAGAAGCUUGCUUCUCUGAUGUUAGCGGCGGACGGGUGAGUAACACGUGGAUAACCUACCUAUAAGACUGGGAUAACUUCGGGAAACCGUAGCUAAUACCGGAUAAUAUUUUGAACCGCAUGGUUCAAAAGUGAAAGACGGUCUUGCUGUCACUUAUAGAUGGAUCCGCGCUGCAUUAGCUAGUUGGUAAGGUAACGGCUUACCAAGGCAACGAUGCAUAGCCGACCUGAGAGGGUGAUCGGCCACACUGGAACUGAGACACGGUCCAGACUCCUACGGGAGGCAGCAGUCGGGAAUCUUCCGCGAUGGGCGAAAGCCUGACGGAGCAACGCCGCGUGAGUGAUGAAGGUCUUCGGAUCGUAAAACUCUGUUAUUAGGGAAGAACAUAUGUGUAAGUAACUGUGCACAUCUUGACGGUACCUAAUCAGAAAGCCACGGCUAACUACGUG
This 497-nucleotide ribosomal RNA is filed under the name uncultured bacterium. RNAcentral describes it as "partial 16S ribosomal RNA". It matches the Rfam family "Bacterial small subunit ribosomal RNA", at positions 28 to 507 of the family's 1533-position model. The record is from RNAcentral.